GAUGAACGCUGGCGGCGUGCCUAAUACAUGCAAGUCGAGCGAACGGACGAGAAGCUUGCUUCUCUGAUGUUAGCGGCGGACGGGUGAGUAACACGUGGAUAACCUACCUAUAAGACUGGGAUAACUUCGGGAAACCGGAGCUAAUGCCGGAUAAUAUUUUGAACCGCAUGGUUCAAAAGUGAAAGACGGUCUUGCUGUCACUUAUAGAUGGAUCCGCGCUGCAUUAGCUAGUUGGUAAGGUAACGGCUUACCAAGGCAACGAUGCAUAGCCGACCUGAGAGGGUGAUCGGCCACACUGGAACUGAGACACGGUCCAGACUCCUACGGGAGGCAGCAGUAGGGAAUCUUCCGCAAUGGGCGAAAGCCUGACGGAGCAACGCCGCGUGAGUGAUGAAGGUCUUCGGAUCGUAAAACUCUGUUAUUAGGGAAGAACAUAUGUGUAAGUAACUGUGCACAUCUUGACGGUACCUAAUCAGAAAGCCACGGCUAACUACGUGCCAGCAGCCGCGGUAAUACGUAGGUGGCAAGCGUUAUCCGGAAUUAUUGGGCGUAAAGCGCGCGUAGGCGGUUUUUUAAGUCUGAUGUGAAAGCCCACGGCUCAACCGUGGAGGGUCAUUGGAAACUGGAAAACUUGAGUGCAGAAGAGGAAAGUGGAAUUCCAUGUGUAGCGGUGAAAUGCGCAGAGAUAUGGAGGAACACCAGUGGCGAAGGCGACUUUCUGGUCUGUAACUGACGCUGAUGUGCGAAAGCGUGGGGAUCAAACAGGAUUAGAUACCCUGGUAGUCCACGCCGUAAACGAUGAGUGCUAAGUGUUAGGGGGUUUCCGCCCCUUAGUGCUGCAGCUAACGCAUUAAGCACUCCGCCUGGGGAGUACGACCGCAAGGUUGAAACUCAAAGGAAUUGACGGGGACCCGCACAAGCGGUGGAGCAUGUGGUUUAAUUCGAAGCAACGCGAAGAACCUUACCAAAUCUUGACAUCCUUUGACAACUCUAGAGAUAGAGCCUUCCCCUUCGGGGGACAAAGUGACAGGUGGUGCAUGGUUGUCGUCAGCUCGUGUCGUGAGAUGUUGGGUUAAGUCCCGCAGCGAGCGCAACCCUUAAGCUUAGUUGCCAUCAUUAAGUUGGGCACUCUAAGUUGACUGCCGGUGACAAACCGGAGGAAGGUGGGGAUGACGUCAAAUCAUCAUGCCCCUUAUGAUUUGGGCUACACACGUGCUACAAUGGACAAUACAAAGGGCAGCGAAACCGCGAGGUCAAGCAAAUCCCAUAAAGUUGUUCUCAGUUCGGAUUGUAGUCUGCAACUCGACUACAUGAAGCUGGAAUCGCUAGUAAUCGUAGAUCAGCAUGCUACGGUGAAUACGCUCCCGGGUCU
This 1372-nucleotide ribosomal RNA is filed under the name uncultured bacterium. Its description in RNAcentral is "bacterial SSU rRNA". It matches the Rfam family "Bacterial small subunit ribosomal RNA", at positions 28 to 1381 of the family's 1533-position model. The record is from RNAcentral.